Molecule: non-coding RNA, 285 nt
Organism: Otolemur garnettii (small-eared galago)
Lineage: Eukaryota; Metazoa; Chordata; Mammalia; Primates; Galagidae
Source: Rfam
GUUGGGCACAGUGGCAUGUGCUUAUAGUCCCAGCUACUCGGGAGGCUGAGGCAGGAGAAUUGUUUGAGUUCAGGAGUUCUGGGCUGUAGUGUGCUAUGCUGAUCAGGUGUCUACACUAAGUUAGCAUCAAUAUGGUAACCUCCAAGGAGCCAAGGACCACCAGGUUGCCUAAGGUGAACCUUCCCAGGAGUAGGCUAAAAGCUCCUAUGCUAAUCAAUAGUGGGAUCGUGCCUGUGAAUAGCCACUGCACUUCAGCCUGGGCAACAUAGUGAGACCCCAUCUCUU